AGAGAGAGACAUGCGCGCAUAUCAAUAAGCGGAGGAAAAGAAACUAACAAGGAUUCCCCUAGUAACGGCGAGUGAAGCGGGAAGAGCUCAAAUUUGAAAUCUUCAAGGUCUUUACCUUGACGAAUUGUAGUUUAAAGAAGUGUUUUCUGUUGGAGUUUUGGUAAAAGUUCUUUGGAAUAGGACAUCAUAGAGGGUGAGAAUCCCGUAUUUGACCAUUUAUUUCAGCUGUGUGAUACACUUUCAAAGAGUCGGAUUGUUUGGGAAUGCAGUCCAAAAUGGGUGGUAAAUUUCAUCUAAAGCUAAAUAUUGGCGAGAGACCGAUAGCGAACAAGUACCGUGAGGGAAAGAUGAAAAGAACUUUGAAAAGAGAGUUAAACAGUACGUGAAAUUGUCAAAAGGGAAGCGUUUGACACCAGUGUUGUUUUUCCGAAAAUCAAUUAAAAAUGGAUUCAUGCUAGGUAGUAUUGACUUCAUCGGCUUGCUGCUUAGUUUUGGGUUCUUUUUUGAUGCACUUUUCGGUUAACAAGUCAACAUCAAUUUCUUUUGUUGUAAAAGGUUAAGAGGAAGGUGGCUUUACUUUCGGGUAAAGUGUUUAUAGCCUUUUAACUCUGCAAUCGGAGAGAUUGAGGUCUGCAGCGUAGAUCCUUCGGGGUUAGAUACAUUUGUGCUAAGUUAUAGCUUUUCAUAGACAACUUGUUGACUAUGUUAAGUCUUGUAAUUUACUCGCAGAUGCUAUUUUACCUACGCUUAGGAUGUUGACAGCAGUAUAGACUGU
This 775-nucleotide ribosomal RNA is filed under the name uncultured Neocallimastigales. RNAcentral describes it as "partial large subunit ribosomal RNA". It matches the Rfam family "Eukaryotic large subunit ribosomal RNA", at positions 23 to 644 of the family's 3401-position model. Lineage: Eukaryota; Fungi; Neocallimastigomycota; Neocallimastigomycetes; Neocallimastigales. The record is from RNAcentral.